AAGGUAAUACAAUGUAUUUAAACCUAUUUGGGCCAAUAAACAAAGGCUGAAAAAAAUUGGUCCAGGAUCUCCUUUUUAGAAACAACGUUUGUAAAUUGUCAGCUCCUUGGGUAAAAGUUUUAAGGUGAAAAUAAGUAAAAACUUUAUUAGUUCAUCUUAUGUGGAUAACAUAAAUCUAGUAACAAAAACUAAAUGUAGGAAACUUCUAAAAGGCAAAAGCUAAAUUAGUUGAACUUAGGUAAAUUCAGAAACUCUGAUUAAAAUAUCAGCAUGCAGAAUCCAAAUGUAAGUUGUAAGAAUUGUGCAACAUGAAGUAAUUUGUAUGGAAUGCCCAGAACCAAAAUGUUCUGGUUUACUUAUAAAUAUAGGCUAACUGACAAAAAAUUGAAUCACUGCAACUAUAAUUCAUUGUCAUAGUUUAUCUUAGAUUUAUACGACUUAGAGUAGGAAAUAUCACAUGAUUUAAUCAAUUCUAAGAAGACUUUGGCAUUUGGAAAUCAGAAUGCAUCUCAAAAUUGGUAGCUUCUUACCAUCACUUUCCACUAGGUGACUGUCAUGAUGUAGUGCUAGCAUCAGAGGUAUCAGUUACAGAGUUCCCAUUGUGGCUCAGUGGUAACGAACCCGGCUACUAUCUAUGAGGAUGUGGGUUCGAUCCCUAUCCUUAACCCACUGAAUGAGGCUAGGGGUUAAACCCGCAUCCUUAUGGAUUCUAGUUGGGUUCAUAACCCACUGAGCCACAACGGGAACUCCCAGAAUUGCUCUUUUAAUAAUAAAAUGUAACACAAAGUAGAAUACUUUGAUCAUUUUAAUAGAAUAAGCCAUCAACUGGCUAGUAUCUCACUCCUGGGUACCAUAUUUGCAGGCUAACUAGGAGAUGGGGAGGUGGUGCCUUAUCCCAGCAUUUCUAAAAUUAUCUCAGAAAUCACCAGUACUUAAUAACACUUCAAAAACAAGGGGAAUUCUCUGGUUAAAGAAGCUCAUGAAGCAACAUCUUCACAAUCCCCACUUAAGGAAUGUGCAAAAGCACCUCAUCAAGACUGAAGUGUAUUCUAGUGAAGAAAAAUUUUUCAACUUUGUUUAAAUUGGUAUAUCUCAAACUUUACCUUGGAAAUAACAAUUCUUAUUACUCAUUAUCAUCCUAAGGAAGUGAAACUGCAUUGGGAAAUGCUGCAAAAUCUAAAAGAGACUUUACAGUAAAGUUGGAAAUUUCAGUCACCAGGUCUGGUUGUUAGCUAAACAGGGUGGCAGUUAGCUCCUGCUUUCAGUUAACCUUCUAACAUUUUCUAUUAUUUGUGAGUAAAAAAUCUUUGUUGUAUAUAAGUAGGCAUGGCUCCUGAGUUUUGUCAAAUGCCAUUUCAUCAUCUCUCCUGCAGUUUUAGAGUAGUUUGUUAAUGUGAUAAUUUAUACCUACAGACUCUCUGUCCUCUUUCCAUUCCUAGGUAUACCAAGGUUAAUCACUGGUGUGUGUGUGUGUGUGUGUGUGUGUUUGUGUGUGCGUGCGCGCUACGCUGCUUGAUUUCAUUUGCUACUAUUUUAUUUAGAAUUUUUACAUCUCAUGAGUGGGACCAUAUAGUAAUUUUCUAAAUGUAUUUUUGUUUGUUUUUGUAUUGCAAUUACCUGUUCUCUAAAAUUGCAUGACUGUAUUGGUUUUUUUGUUUGGUUGGUUGUUUUGAAUUGGAGAUCCUUAAUUAGUUUUCUAGUUCCAUCUGUGGAUUAAGGAUUAAGGCAGUAGGGUAAGGAUUCAGGUAUUGUCUGCAGCGGCUCAGAUCACCGCUGAAGUGCUGGUUUGAUCCCCUCUCUGGUUCAGUGGGUAAAGGAUCCCGCAUUAUAGAGAUUCUUUUCACUUCUCUGCUAUAUUGAACUUCUAGUUUUCUACUCAUUCUCCAGUUGCUUUCUUAGAAGGGGUGAUUUUUUAAAUAACUCAUGUGGUAAAAAGGUUAUUCUGGGAGUUCCCAUCGUGGUUCAGUGAUAACAAGUCUCCAUGAGGAUGUGGAUUCGAUCCCUGGCCUUUCUCAGUGGGUUAAGGAUCCAGCGUUGCUGUGGCUGUGGUGUAGGCCGGCAUCUACAGUUCCGAUUUGACUCCUAGCCUGGGAACUUCCAUAUGCUGAGGGUGCGGCCCUAAAAAGACAAAAAAACAAACCAAAAAAAACCAGUUAUUCUGUCCUUCUGUUUCCACUGUCCUUAUUUUGGCCAGGAGGUUCUUGGGCAUGUUCUUUUUAAGGUGCAUGGCAGAAGCACCAAUGGCUGUGCCGAAGCAUCUUUAAUGUCUCUACCCUCACCCGCAUCAGCCCACAUUCUGUUGAUUAGACAAGUCAGAUGGACAAGCCCAACAUUAAUAGAGCAGGGGCAAGCCAUGCCAAGGGCAGAGUAAAGAAUUGUGGAAAAACACUGUAAGCUCCCAGACUCAUAACAACAUAGCUUGGAUCCUUUCGCCGCAGCACAACCCACUGCAGGGGUAGCUGAGCAAUAGUUAGUAAUUUCAACAAUAAUAAUUUAUCUCCAUGAUGUUAGUUAGUUGAGAAACAUAAAUCUUUCCUAUAACCAUACUCAGAGUUGCUAUACAGAUUUAUAAAGUCAUAUAUAUUUCUUACUUUAAAAACUAGCGAGGACUUCCCUGGUAGCCUGGCAGGUUAAGGAUCCAGCGUUGUCACUACUAUGGCGUGAGUGGCUGGGGUCACUGUUGUGACGUGGGUUUGAUCCCUGGCCUGUGAACUUCUGCAUGCCAUUGGCAUGGCCAGAAAAAGUAUAAAUGUCUGUUUAUGAAUAAUUGUGGAGAGAAUUACAGGGAAGAUGGACAGAACUCUGUACAUUAAGGUGCUUUUUAAUAUCCAAAGUUGAAGACCUUUCUUCAUACGAACUUCCUGAAAAUGUGACCCCCCCACCACCACGUGAGCACGUUGUGACAAAGAAAUAAAAAGUGUGGACAGACAA
RNAcentral lists this long non-coding RNA (2931 nucleotides) under Sus scrofa (pig). RNAcentral's name for it is "lncRNA (ENSSSCG00065049682.1)". The record is from RNAcentral. Lineage: Eukaryota; Metazoa; Chordata; Mammalia; Artiodactyla; Suidae.